RNAcentral lists this ribosomal RNA (252 nucleotides) under uncultured bacterium. RNAcentral describes it as "partial 16S ribosomal RNA". It matches the Rfam family "Bacterial small subunit ribosomal RNA", at positions 524 to 776 of the family's 1533-position model. The record is from RNAcentral.
UACGUAGGUCCCGAGCGUUGUCCGGAUUUAUUGGGCGUAAAGCGAGCGCAGGUGGUUUAUUAAGUCUGGUGUAAAAGGCAGUGGCUCAACCAUUGUAUGCAUUGGAAACUGGUAGACUUGAGUGCAGGAGAGGAGAGUGGAAUUCCAUGUGUAGCGGUGAAAUGCGUAGAUAUAUGGAGGAACACCGGUGGCGAAAGCGGCUUACUGGACUGUAACUGACGUUGAGGCUCGAAGGCGUGGGGAGCAAACAGG